GGGCCCGUAGCUUAGCAUGGUGGAGCGCCCGGCUGAUAUCCAUGUCAGUCACCGGGAGGUCGGGGGUCCAAAUCCCCCCGGGCCCA
This 86-nucleotide transfer RNA is filed under the name Sulfuracidifex tepidarius. RNAcentral's name for it is "tRNA-Ile". It matches the Rfam family "tRNA". From Rfam's summary of the family: Transfer RNA (tRNA) molecules are approximately 80 nucleotides in length. Their secondary structure includes four short double-helical elements and three loops (D, anti-codon, and T loops). Lineage: Archaea; Thermoproteati; Thermoproteota; Thermoprotei; Sulfolobales; Sulfolobaceae. The record is from RNAcentral.